RNAcentral lists this ribosomal RNA (148 nucleotides) under Fusobacterium necrophorum subsp. funduliforme B35. RNAcentral's name for it is "partial 23S ribosomal RNA". It matches the Rfam family "Bacterial large subunit ribosomal RNA", at positions 2662 to 2808 of the family's 2925-position model. Lineage: Bacteria; Fusobacteriati; Fusobacteriota; Fusobacteriia; Fusobacteriales; Fusobacteriaceae. The record is from RNAcentral.
UUGAGAAGAUCUGUCCUUAGUACGAGAGGACCGGGAUGGACAAACCUCUGAUGUACCAGUUGUCACGCCAGUGGCACAGCUGGGUAGUCACGUUUGGCAUAGAUAACCGCUGAAAGCAUCUAAGCGGGAAACUAGCUUCAAGAUAAGU